CCCCACUAUGCCCAGCCCUAACCCACAAUAUCACCCACUACCAGAUAUUCGCCAGAGAAUUACAAGCAAUAUGCUCGAAACUCAAAGGACUUGGCGGUGUCUCACAUUCCCCUAGAGGAGCCUGUCCUAUAAUCGAUACUCCCCGCUAAACCUUACCAUCUAAGGCCCGCCCAGCCUAUAUACCGCCGUCGCCAGCCUACCCCACUGAGGGCCCAAAAGUAGGCAAAAUUGCCAGCACAAAAACGUCAGGUCAAGGUGUAGCUAAUGAGAUGGCAGAGAUGGGCUACAUUUUCUAAUAUAGAAAAUACGGAAAAUACAAUGAAACUUGUAUUAAAGGCGGAUUUAGUAGUAAAGAAAGACCAAAGAACACUAACUUUAACCAGACACUG
This 389-nucleotide ribosomal RNA is filed under the name Gerrhosaurus flavigularis. Its description in RNAcentral is "partial 12S ribosomal RNA". It matches the Rfam family "Bacterial small subunit ribosomal RNA", at positions 785 to 1376 of the family's 1533-position model. Lineage: Eukaryota; Metazoa; Chordata; Lepidosauria; Squamata; Gerrhosauridae. The record is from RNAcentral.